AUUGAACGCUGGCGGAAUGCUUUACACAUGCAAGUCGAGCGGCAGCGCGGGGGCAACCCUGGCGGCGAGCGGCGAACGGGUGAGUAACAUAUCGGAACGUACCCCGUCGUGGGGGAUAACACAGCGAAAGCUGUGCUAAUACCGCAUACGACCUGAGGGUGAAAGCGGGGGAUCGCAAGACCUCGCGCGAUGGGAGCGGCCGAUAUCGGAUUAGCUUGUUGGUGAGGUAAAGGCUCACCAAGGCGACGAUCCGUAGCUGGUCUGAGAGGACGACCAGCCACACUGGAACUGAGACACGGUCCAGACUCCUACGGGAGGCAGCAGUGGGGAAUUUUGGACAAUGGGGGCAACCCUGAUCCAGCCAUUCCGCGUGAGUGAAGAAGGCCUUCGGUUGUAAGCGUCUUUCAGCAGGAACGAACGGUAGGCGAC
RNAcentral lists this ribosomal RNA (429 nucleotides) under uncultured bacterium. RNAcentral's name for it is "bacterial SSU rRNA". It matches the Rfam family "Bacterial small subunit ribosomal RNA", at positions 29 to 460 of the family's 1533-position model. The record is from RNAcentral.